GACGAACGCUGGCGGCGUGCCUAACACAUGCAAGUCGAGCGAGAAUUUAAGGAAAGAUCCCUUCGGGGUGAAUUUUUUAAAGGAGAGCGGCGGACGGGUGAGUAACGCGUGAGCAACCUGCCUUAAGGAGGGGGAUAACACAGAGAAAUCUGUGCUAAUACCGCAUAAAACAUUUUACCGCAUGAUAGAAAUGUCAAAACUCCGGUGCCUUAAGAUGGGCUCGCGUCCGAUUAGCUAGUUGGUGGGGUAACGGCCUACCAAGGCGACGAUCGGUAGCCGGACUGAGAGGUUGAACGGCCACAUUGGGACUGAGACACGGCCCAG
This 324-nucleotide ribosomal RNA is filed under the name uncultured bacterium. Its description in RNAcentral is "bacterial SSU rRNA". It matches the Rfam family "Bacterial small subunit ribosomal RNA", at positions 28 to 334 of the family's 1533-position model. The record is from RNAcentral.